GUCUAUGGCCAUGCCACCCUGAACAUACCCGAUAUCAUCUGAUCUUGGAAGUUAAGCAGGGUCGGGCCUAGUUAGUACUUGGAUGGGAGAACACCUAGGAAUACCAGGUGCUGUAGGCA
Molecule: ribosomal RNA, 119 nt
Filed under: Pteropus alecto (black flying fox)
Lineage: Eukaryota; Metazoa; Chordata; Mammalia; Chiroptera; Pteropodidae
Source: RNAcentral